RNAcentral lists this ribosomal RNA (406 nucleotides) under uncultured bacterium. RNAcentral's name for it is "partial 16S ribosomal RNA". It matches the Rfam family "Bacterial small subunit ribosomal RNA", at positions 30 to 526 of the family's 1533-position model. The record is from RNAcentral.
AUUGAACGCUAGCGGGAGGCAUAACACAUGCAAGUCGAACGAGUGGCGGACGGGUGAGUAAUGUCUGGGAAACUGCCCGAUGGAGGGGGAUAACUACUGGAAACGGUAGCUAAUACCGCAUACCAUUGGAUGUGCCCAGAUGGGAUUAGCUAGUAGGUGGGGUAAAGGCUCACCUAGGCGACGAUCCCUAGCUGGUCUGAGAGGCUGACCAGCCCCACUGUGACUGAGACACGGUCCAGACCCCUACGGGAGGCAGCAGUGGGGAAUAUUGCACAAUGGGCGCGAGCCUGAUGCAGCCAUGCCGCGUGUAUGAUGAAGGCCUUCGGGUUGUAAAGUACUUUCAGCGGGGAGGUGUUAGCCGCAGAAGAAGCACCGGCUAACUCCGUGCCAGCAGCGGCGGUAAUAC